UACGUAGGGUGCAAGCGUUGUCCGGAAUUAUUGGGCGUAAAGAGCUCGUAGGCGGUCUGUCGCGUCGGCUGUGAAAACCCAGGGCUCAACCCUGGGCCUGCAGUCGAUACGGGCAGACUAGAGUCCGGCAGGGGAGACUGGAAUUCCUGGUGUAGCGGUGAAAUGCGCAGAUAUCAGGAGGAACACCGGUGGCGAAGGCGGGUCUCUGGGCCGGAACUGACGCUGAGGAGCGAAAGCGUGGGGAGCAAACGGG
RNAcentral lists this ribosomal RNA (253 nucleotides) under uncultured bacterium. Its description in RNAcentral is "partial 16S ribosomal RNA". It matches the Rfam family "Bacterial small subunit ribosomal RNA", at positions 524 to 776 of the family's 1533-position model. The record is from RNAcentral.